UUUGGUCGUAGAAUAUUCUUAUUGUCGGGAAUCACCGUACGACGGCGCAGUCAUUUGUGGGCCCCAUAACGGAAAACGGUUGGAUGAAAGAAAACGACAAAGAUUGAGUUUUAUAAAUAACGGCGUAAAUUGUUACUGUUAACACUGUUGGGUUACCUGGUGGUUAAAAUAUAGUAAUACACGUGGUUAUACAGUAGCACACGGUAUUACACAGUAUUGUUGAAUUAUUGAUCCUUACGUAAGAAGGCACUACUCAAUAAUUG
Molecule: long non-coding RNA, 263 nt
Filed under: Panax ginseng (ginseng)
Lineage: Eukaryota; Viridiplantae; Streptophyta; Magnoliopsida; Apiales; Araliaceae
Description: long non-coding RNA (PGIN_LNC000680)
Source: RNAcentral